This 529-nucleotide ribosomal RNA is filed under the name uncultured bacterium. Its description in RNAcentral is "bacterial SSU rRNA". It matches the Rfam family "Bacterial small subunit ribosomal RNA", at positions 777 to 1304 of the family's 1533-position model. The record is from RNAcentral.
AAUAGAUACCCAGGUAGUCCACGCCGUAAACGAUGAGUGCUAGGUGUUAGGGGGGUCCAACCCCUUAGUGCUGAAGUUAACACAUUAAGCACUCCGCCUGGGGAGUACGACCGCAAGGUUGAAACUCAAAGGAAUUGACGGGGGCCCGCACAAGCAGUGGAGCAUGUGGUUUAAUUCGAAGCAACGCGAAGAACCUUACCAGGUCUUGACAUCCUCUGACAACCCUAGAGAUAGGGCGUUCCCCUUCGGGGGACAGAGUGACAGGUGGUGCAUGGUUGUCGUCAGCUCGUGUCGUGAGAUGUUGGGUUAAGUCCCGCAACGAGCGCAACCCUUGAUGUUAGUUGCCAGCAUUCAGUUGGGCACUCUAACGUGACUGCCGGUGACAAACCGGAGGAAGGUGGGGAUGACGUCAAAUCAUCAUGCCCCUUAUGACCUGGGCUACACACGUGCUACAAUGGGCGGUACAAAGGGCAGCGAAACCGCGAGGUGGAGCCAAUCCCAUAAAGCCGCUCUCAGUUCGGAUUGCAGG